ACAUGCCUACAACAUAGUGUUAAUGCACCGGAUCCCAUUAGAACUCUACAAUUAAGCAUGCUCAUGCUAGACUAGUAUUGGGAUGGAUGAUUUCCCAGGAAGUCCUAGUGUUUUACAUGGC
This is a non-coding RNA of Picea glauca (white spruce), 121 nucleotides long. Lineage: Eukaryota; Viridiplantae; Streptophyta; Pinopsida; Pinales; Pinaceae. The record is from Rfam.